Molecule: ribosomal RNA, 301 nt
Filed under: uncultured bacterium
Lineage: Bacteria
Description: partial 16S ribosomal RNA
Rfam family: Bacterial small subunit ribosomal RNA
Source: RNAcentral
CAGUAGCCGCGGUAAUACGCAGGUGGCAAGCGUUGUCCGGAAUUAUUGGGCGUAAAGGGCUCGCAGGCGGUUUCUUAAGUCUGAUGUGAAAGCCCCCGGCUCAACCGGGGAGGGUCAUUGGAAACUGGGAAACUUGAGUGCAGAAGAGGAGAGUGGAAUUCCACGUGUAGCGGUGAAAUGCGUAGAGAUGUGGAGGAACACCGGUGGCGAAGGCGACUCUCUGGUCUGUAACUGACGCUGAGGAGCGAAAGCGUGGGGAGCGAACAGGAUUAGAUACCCCUGUAGUCCCUGUCUCUUAUAC